RNAcentral lists this ribosomal RNA (449 nucleotides) under Acanthamoeba genotype T4. RNAcentral's name for it is "partial 18S ribosomal RNA". Lineage: Eukaryota; Discosea; Longamoebia; Acanthamoebidae. The record is from RNAcentral.
AGGGGGAUACCUGUUGGCUACGCCAUCCCCGCGCCCCGGCCGAAACCGAGACGCCAAGGAUGACCGCGCAACCGAUGGUGGUGUUUUGUAUUCAACGUCUCCUAAUCGCUGGUCGGCAUCGUUUAUGGUUAAGACUACGACGGUAUCUGAUCGUCUUCGAUCCCCUAACUUUCGUUCUUGAUUAAUGAAAACAUCCUUGGCAGAUGCUUUCGCAGAAGUUAAUCUUUCAUAAAUCCAAGAAUUUCACCUCUGACAAUUAAAUAUUAAUGCCCCCAACUAUCCCUAUUAAUCAUUACCCUAGUCCUCGCGCUGCCAAAACCAACUGAAAAUAGGAGGACAGGGUCCUAUUCCAUUAUCCCAUGCUAAUGUAUUCGGUGGCAGAAAAUUGGAUCUGCCUGCUUUGAACACUCUAAUUUUUUCACGGUAAACGAUCUGGGCCAGAACUGGGC